This 509-nucleotide ribosomal RNA is filed under the name uncultured bacterium. RNAcentral describes it as "partial 16S ribosomal RNA". It matches the Rfam family "Bacterial small subunit ribosomal RNA", at positions 28 to 506 of the family's 1533-position model. The record is from RNAcentral.
GACGAACGCUGGCGGCGUGCUUAACACAUGCAAGUCGAACGAAGAGCGAUGGAAGCUUGCUUCUAUCAAUCUUAGUGGCGAACGGGUGAGUAACGCGUAAUCAACCUGCCCUUCAGAGGGGGACAACAGUUGGAAACGACUGCUCAUACCGCAUACGAUCUAAUCUCGGCAUCGAGGAUAGAUUAAAGGUGGCCUCUACAUGUAAGCUAUCACUGAAGGAGGGGAUUGCGUCUGAUUAGCUAGUUGGAGGGGUAACGGCCCACCAAGGCGAUGAUCAGUAGCCGGUCUGAGAGGAUGAACGGCCACAUUGGGACUGAGACACGGCCCAGACUCCUACGGGAGGCAGCAGUGGGGAAUCUUCCGCAAUGGACGAAAGUCUGACGGAGCAACGCCGCGUGAGUGAUGACGGCCUUCGGGUUGUAAAGCUCUGUUAAUCGGGACGAAAGGCAUUCUUGCGAAAAGUGAGAAGGAUUGACGGUACCGGAAUAGAAGGCCACGGCUACCUACGU